RNAcentral lists this ribosomal RNA (225 nucleotides) under Vibrio parahaemolyticus. RNAcentral describes it as "partial 16S ribosomal RNA". It matches the Rfam family "Bacterial small subunit ribosomal RNA", at positions 1 to 214 of the family's 1533-position model. The record is from RNAcentral. Lineage: Bacteria; Pseudomonadati; Pseudomonadota; Gammaproteobacteria; Vibrionales; Vibrionaceae.
AAAUUGAAGAGUUUGAUCAUGGCUCAGAUUGAACGCUGGCGGCAGGCCUAACACAUGCAAGUCGAGCGGAAACGAGUUAUCUGAACCUUCGGGGAACGAUAGCGGCGUCGAGCGGCGGACGGGUGAGUAAUGCCUAGGAAAUUGCCCUGAUGUGGGGGAUAACCAUUGGAAACGAUGGCUAAUACCGCAUGAUGCCUACGGGCCAAAGAGGGGGACCUUCGGGCC